GGCCCCCUCGUCUAGUGGCCUAGGACGUCACCCUCUCACGGUGAAGACACGGGUUCGACUCCCGUGGGGGCUA
Molecule: transfer RNA, 73 nt
Filed under: Candidatus Omnitrophota bacterium
Lineage: Bacteria; Pseudomonadati; Candidatus Omnitrophota
Description: Candidatus Omnitrophica bacterium (groundwater metagenome) tRNA-Glu
Rfam family: tRNA
About the family: Transfer RNA (tRNA) molecules are approximately 80 nucleotides in length. Their secondary structure includes four short double-helical elements and three loops (D, anti-codon, and T loops). Further hydrogen bonds mediate the characteristic L-shaped molecular structure. tRNAs have two regions of fundamental functional importance: the anti-codon, which is responsible for specific mRNA codon recognition, and the 3' end, to which the tRNAs corresponding amino acid is attached (by aminoacyl-tRNA synthetases). tRNAs cope with the degeneracy of the genetic code in two manners: having more than one tRNA (with a specific anti-codon) for a particular amino acid; and 'wobble' base-pairing, i.e. permitting non-standard base-pairing at the 3rd anti-codon position.
Source: RNAcentral